Molecule: ribosomal RNA, 1638 nt
Filed under: Staphylococcus hominis
Lineage: Bacteria; Bacillati; Bacillota; Bacilli; Caryophanales; Staphylococcaceae
Description: bacterial SSU rRNA
Rfam family: Bacterial small subunit ribosomal RNA
Source: RNAcentral
ACGCUAUGACAUUCCUCCGCCUGAUGUGUGAUCCCUCGCCCCGCAGGACGAACCAACGCCACCCGGAGUAGUUUGGAUCUGGCUCAGGAUGAACGCUGGCGGCGUGCCUAAUACAUGCAAGUCGAGCGAACAGACGAGGAGCUUGCUCCUUUGACGUUAGCGGCGGACGGGUGAGUAACACGUAGGUAACCUACCUAUAAGACUGGGAUAACUUCGGGAAACCGGAGCUAAUACCGGAUAAUAUUUCGAACCGCAUGGUUCGAUAGUGAAAGAUGGCUUUGCUAUCACUUAUAGAUGGACCUGCGCCGUAUUAGCUAGUUGGUAAGGUAACGGCUUACCAAGGCAACGAUACGUAGCCGACCUGAGAGGGUGAUCGGCCACACUGGAACUGAGACACGGUCCAGACUCCUACGGGAGGCAGCAGUAGGGAAUCUUCCGCAAUGGGCGAAAGCCUGACGGAGCAACGCCGCGUGAGUGAUGAAGGUCUUCGGAUCGUAAAACUCUGUUAUUAGGGAAGAACAAACGUGUAAGUAACUGUGCACGUCUUGACGGUACCUAAUCAGAAAGCCACGGCUAACUACGUGCCAGCAGCCGCGGUAAUACGUAGGUGGCAAGCGUUAUCCGGAAUUAUUGGGCGUAAAGCGCGCGUAGGCGGUUUUUUAAGUCUGAUGUGAAAGCCCACGGCUCAACCGUGGAGGGUCAUUGGAAACUGGAAAACUUGAGUGCAGAAGAGGAAAGUGGAAUUCCAUGUGUAGCGGUGAAAUGCGCAGAGAUAUGGAGGAACACCAGUGGCGAAGGCGACUUUCUGGUCUGUAACUGACGCUGAUGUGCGAAAGCGUGGGGAUCAAACAGGAUUAGAUACCCUGGUAGUCCACGCCGUAAACGAUGAGUGCUAAGUGUUAGGGGGUUUCCGCCCCUUAGUGCUGCAGCUAACGCAUUAAGCACUCCGCCUGGGGAGUACGACCGCAAGGUUGAAACUCAAAGGAAUUGACGGGGACCCGCACAAGCGGUGGAGCAUGUGGUUUAAUUCGAAGCAACGCGAAGAACCUUACCAAAUCUUGACAUCCUUUGACCCUUCUAGAGAUAGAAGUUUCCCCUUCGGGGGACAAAGUGACAGGUGGUGCAUGGUUGUCGUCAGCUCGUGUCGUGAGAUGUUGGGUUAAGUCCCGCAACGAGCGCAACCCUUAAGCUUAGUUGCCAUCAUUAAGUUGGGCACUCUAAGUUGACUGCCGGUGACAAACCGGAGGAAGGUGGGGAUGACGUCAAAUCAUCAUGCCCCUUAUGAUUUGGGCUACACACGUGCUACAAUGGACAAUACAAAGGGCAGCGAAACCGCGAGGUCAAGCAAAUCCCAUAAAGUUGUUCUCAGUUCGGAUUGUAGUCUGCAACUCGACUACAUGAAGCUGGAAUCGCUAGUAAUCGUAGAUCAGCAUGCUACGGUGAAUACGUUCCCGGGUCUUGUACACACCGCCCGUCACACCACGAGAGUUUGUAACACCCGAAGCCGGUGGAGUAACCAUUUGGAGCUAGCCGUCGAAAGUGGGACAAAUGAUUGGGGUGAAGUCGUAACAAGUUAAACCGUAACGUUGCUGGAUCGGCGAUUGCUAGCGAUUCCAGCUUCAUGUAGUCGAGUUGCAG